ACGGCAAUCGGGUUAUGCUUUUAUGUUGUUUGUAAGUGGUACAAUCUUAAAACUAAAGAAUAAUGAAGAAAUAAACAGAAAUAAGUGCUGUCCUUAACAUAUUUCGGUGUUUUUAUUAAAUUUUACUUAACUUGAGCGUCAUUCAUUAUGUUCGAAUGAAUUCAUUGAUAGUUUAAAUAAAGGUUAUAUUUACAUUUUGAUUUACUGCACAAUUACCUUUCAGUCCUGAAUGUUUGUUAAAAUAUAAUUAAACCAUCUGAUAAAACUACACAACAGAUACUACUGAUAGAAAGCAUAACUUUCAAAUGGGACCAAAAGGACUGUGAUAUGUAAACCACCUAUGCAUCGAAAGGUACAUGUAAAGUAAUUAUCUUCUAAUUUGUUCUAGGAAGUACAAAAAGCAAGUAAAGAAGACUACCAAGAUUGACAUGUAAAGAGGAAGUGAGCAACAAUGUGCAUUAAUAACAGAAUGUGCUUUGCUGAUAUCUUUCUAAUGAUGUUAAUAAUGAAUAGCAGGAAUUACAAUCUAACCGACCUGCAAAUACUGCCAAUGGAACACAUGUCAUUAUACUGUUAAGUAGUUGAGCAUAUGAGUUUGUUGCAAAUCUACCUUUAGAAUCAAUUCCCUCUACAAGUAGGCAUUUACCCACAGAUUUCUUUAUGCCCUUCCUUACAUGAUGAUCUAUUGAUAUGGUUUUAAGUUGCAACUUGUGUUUGAAUUAAAUCAUUAGUACAUAGAUUCUCUUUCAAAGUUAAAUCUUAUUUUAAGAGUAUUCUUAUUAUACUAUGGAUUCCUGAUUUAAGGCAUAGUAAUGAGUUAAAAUGUACUUCAAUCCACCAUGAGGUGGUACUUGGUCACUACAUUUUGAUCUGGACAAUGUUCUUUCUUUUAAAUAACUUCAUAAUAAAAACACAUAAACUAAAUGUAAUACCUGCAUUAAUAAAUACACUAAAGAAGUCUGAAAUCAUUAAUUAAAAUGAAUGCUUGUUUGUGUAGAUAAAUAUGUAUAUCACACCAUAAAUCUCAUGUACUGUUAACUUUUUGAUGAAAGUUCAUUUGGUACUUUGCAACAAACUGGUUACCAGAACAACUGUACGCCUUCUAAAAUAGUUUUAACUAUUAUAAACAUUUGAAAUUACUAUGUGUUGUUGUUUAUUACCGUUUCAGAUACAAAAAUAAGUUUAUAUUAAUACAUAAAACUAAUGUAUUCAUAGUAUAAUUGUCUUUCCAACAUUUUUAUUAGCUAAAUAGUUCAUUGUAAGUUACCUUUUCUUUCGUUAACUAUGUACUUCUUGGAGUAGUGCCUUUUGUGGGUAAUUUAUUCGGUAAAGAGCAGCUAGCAAAUGAUAUUAAUAAAAUGCAGAUGUAAAGUAUCUUAUUAAGUUUUAAAAAAUUAUGAAAUCAUUUAAGAUAUAGAGGGUAUUAUUUUUGAAUACUGAUUUAUUUUGAAUUUGUACUAUAAAAGUGUAUAUAAGUAAAUUUGAUUUAAUAGAAUGCAACAGUUUAA
This is a long non-coding RNA of Agrilus planipennis (emerald ash borer), 1508 nucleotides long. RefSeq lists it as uncharacterized. The transcript has 2 exons. The record is from RefSeq and is a predicted model, not a curated record. NCBI's taxonomy places the organism in Eukaryota, Metazoa, Arthropoda, Insecta, Coleoptera, Buprestidae.